RNAcentral lists this ribosomal RNA (700 nucleotides) under uncultured bacterium. RNAcentral describes it as "bacterial SSU rRNA". It matches the Rfam family "Bacterial small subunit ribosomal RNA", at positions 57 to 758 of the family's 1533-position model. The record is from RNAcentral.
GCAGUCGAACGAUGAAAGGGAGCUUGCUCCCUGGAUUAGUGGCGAACGGGUGAGUAACACGUGAGUAACCUGCCCUUGACUCUGGGAUAAGCACUGGAAACGGUGUCUAAUACCGGAUACGAACUUCAGCCGCAUGGCUAGGAGUUGGAAAGAAUUUCGGUCAAGGAUGGACUCGCGGCCUAUCAGCUAGUUGGUGAGGUAAUGGCCCACCAAGGCGACGACGGGUAGCCGGCCUGAGAGGGUGACCGGCCACACUGGGACUGAGACACGGCCCAGACUCCUACGGGAGGCAGCAGUGGGGAAUAUUGCACAAUGGGCGCAAGCCUGAUGCAGCAACGCCGCGUGAGGGACGACGGCCUUCGGGUUGUAAACCUCUUUUAGUAGGGAAGAAGCAAAGUGUUUUACAUGGAGUGACGGUACCUGCAGAAAAAGCACCGGCUAACUACGUGCCAGCAGCCGCGGUAAUACGUAGGGUGCAAGCGUUAUCCGGAAUUAUUGGGCGUAAAGAGCUCGUAGGCGGUUUGUCGCGUCUGCUGUGAAAACUGGGGGCUCAACCCCCAGCCUGCAGUGGGUACGGGCAGACUAGAGUGCGGUAGGGGAGAUUGGAAUUCCUGGUGUAGCGGUGGAAUGCGCAGAUAUCAGGAGGAACACCAAUGGCGAAGGCAGAUCUCUGGGCCGUAACUGACGCUGAGGAGCGAAA